Armigeres subalbatus is the source of this 907-nucleotide long non-coding RNA. RefSeq lists it as uncharacterized. NCBI's taxonomy places the organism in Eukaryota, Metazoa, Arthropoda, Insecta, Diptera, Culicidae. The record is from RefSeq and is a predicted model, not a curated record. The transcript has 3 exons.
UUCACUUCUGUCCAAGUAGGGGCAAUUAAAUUCGAAAUUCUUCGAAGAGCCUUACCUUUCAAUUUCAUCCAUAUAACAUUCAAAAGCGGAGUUUGAUCGUGUCCUUCUAACUGAGAUGCAAAUAAUUCCAAUUGUAAAAUGAAUGGUUCCAGCUCUUCUGGAUUUCCAUCAUAUACGGGUAUACAUUGGAGUGCUGUUAUUUGUGAAAACUCCAUUUUACCUUCCGUUUUGUACCGAACUUUCACCAAAGUAUUUAAUCAAGAAUCAAUUAAUUGUGACAUUGAGAUGUUAAAUUGAAUAAACUUGUUUGUAAGAACACAAAUCCUGCGAACGCAUAUUGCUGGCAAUUACUGUACUGCUGUUGCAUACAUUAUUUCAUUCAAAUCAAAAGCUCCCGUACGUAGACGUGUAAUCAUAUCCAAUGCAUUGCAUUGGAAACGCGCCCAUUACCGUGCGCCUAUCUGCUCGUCCGCGGUUUGGACGACUAAUUGCCGACGCAUCAAAAUGUACUCAGUCCGUUCGCGGGUCGUUCGUUCAGUUCGUUCGCGGGUCAUAUUGAAAAAAGUGCCGAGAGAGUCACCGAAAAAAGUGUGUCAUCCAGUGUCCAGCGUAGAACAUCGUCGUGGAAGUUUUCACCGGAAAAUCCAUCAAGACGUCUUCGAGUUAUGCGAAAACGAACAGAGACCGUUUAAUCGUGGACAAAUUCUAGUGCUUUACCGCAGUGUUCCCUGUUGUGCGGUAACCAAGUAUCAGUGAUAGUCCUGGACUUAAUACCAACUUUAAUUCGGAUACUCGGAUACUUAGUAGUAAAUAAUUUGUUGAGGAUACUUGUAUUAUGGUAUUUAUAAAUAAAAAUGUUUUAUUAUUACAUGUAAAUGCUUCGAAAAGCCCGAAAUUCAUGUACUCA